This 496-nucleotide ribosomal RNA is filed under the name uncultured bacterium. RNAcentral describes it as "partial 16S ribosomal RNA". It matches the Rfam family "Bacterial small subunit ribosomal RNA", at positions 29 to 507 of the family's 1533-position model. The record is from RNAcentral.
AUGAACGCUGGCGGCGUGCCUAAUACAUGCAAGUCAAGCGAACAGACGAGGAGCUUGCUCCUCUGACGUUAGCGGCGGACGGGUGAGUAACACGUGGAUAACCUACCUAUAAGACUGGGAUAACUUCGGGAAACCGGAGCUAAUACCGGAUAAUAUAUUGAACCGCAUGGUUCAAUAGUGAAAGACGGUUUUGCUGUCACUUAUAGAUGGAUCCGCGCCGCAUUAGCUAGUUGGUAAGGUAACGGCUUACCAAGGCAACGAUGCGUAGCCGACCUGAGAGGGUGAUCGGCCACACUGGAACUGAGACACGGUCCAGACUCCUACGGGAGGCAGCAGUAGGGAAUCUUCCGCAAUGGGCGAAAGCUUGACGGAGCAACGCCGCGUGAGUGAUGAAGGUCUUCGGAUCGUAAAACUCUGUUAUUAGGGAAGAACAAAUGUGUAAGUAACUAUGCACGUCUUGACGGUACCUAAUCAGAAAGCCACGGCUAACUACGUG